Molecule: long non-coding RNA, 206 nt
Filed under: Homo sapiens (human)
Lineage: Eukaryota; Metazoa; Chordata; Mammalia; Primates; Hominidae
Description: non-protein coding LINC02055:23
Source: RNAcentral
UGCUCAAGCGCCGCCAAAGUGGGAGCCCAGGCAGAGGAGGCGCCCAGAGCGAGCGAGGGCUGUGAGGACUGCCAGCACGCUGUCACCUCUCACUCAUAUAGAUUGCCAAUCUAUUUGUGAACCAGGUUUGCUGGAGUUUGGAUUUACUACUGAGUCAUAUUUGGAGCAUGCUGGAAUCUUACAACUGAGAUUACCGAGUCAGAAAC